CCUACGGGAGGCAGCAGUGGGGAAUAUUGGGCAAUGGGCGCAAGCCUGACCCAGCAACGCCGCGUGAAUGAAGAAGGCUUUCGGGUUGUAAACUUCUUUUGUCAGUGACGAAGGAAGUGACGGUACCUUACGAUUAAGCCACGGCUAAUUACGUGCCAGCAGCCGCUGUAAUACGUAGGUGGCAAGCGUUAUCCGGAUUUACUGGGUGUAAAGUGCGUGUAGGCGGGGAAUCAAGUCAGAUGUGAAAGCCACGGGCUCAACCUGUGAACUGCAUUUGAAACUGUUGUUCUUGAGUGCUGGAGAGGAGAUCGGAAUUCCGUGUGUAGCGGUGGAAUGCGUAGAUAUACGGAGGAACACCAGUGGCGAAGGCGGAUUGAUGGACAGCAACUGACGCUGAGGCGCGAAAGCGUGGGGAGCAAACAGGAUUAGAUACCCGAGUAGUC
RNAcentral lists this ribosomal RNA (443 nucleotides) under uncultured bacterium. RNAcentral describes it as "partial 16S ribosomal RNA". It matches the Rfam family "Bacterial small subunit ribosomal RNA", at positions 338 to 795 of the family's 1533-position model. The record is from RNAcentral.